This 253-nucleotide ribosomal RNA is filed under the name uncultured bacterium. RNAcentral describes it as "partial 16S ribosomal RNA". It matches the Rfam family "Bacterial small subunit ribosomal RNA", at positions 524 to 776 of the family's 1533-position model. The record is from RNAcentral.
UACGUAGGGGGCAAGCGUUGUCCGGAUUUAUUGGGCGUAAAGAGCGUGUAGGCGGUCAGGUAGGUCCGCUGUGAAAACUCGAGGCUCAACCUCGAGACGCCGAUGGAAACCAUCUGACUAGAGUCCGGAAGAGGAGAGUGGAAUUCCUGGUGUAGCGGUGAAAUGCGCAGAUAUCGGAAGGAACAUCAGUGGCGAAAGCGGCUUCCUGGUCCAGCACCGACGUUCAGGCACGAAAGCGUGGGGAGCAAACAGG